CCAGCCGAGACAAAUCAACAUCAGAAAGACCUUAGCAGCUCUACUACAGUGGAAGACCUAUUGACUUAAUAUUAGUUAAUCAGGUCUUAGUAUUUGCAACUUGAGCUCUUCAUAAGAGGUAAUCGAACAAUUGGCCAGGUAAGCAGGUGGGAGGCUCCCCUUACUCAGAGAGUAAGGUCCUAAUUAAGUAACCACCUUUCAUGCUUUCCUAGACACCAAUUAGAUUAAUUAAUCUAAUAUGACUUGCUCAUGUUGGUUCACUCUCGACUUGAUUGAGGAGGUU
This 283-nucleotide long non-coding RNA is filed under the name Phoenix dactylifera (date palm). Its description in RNAcentral is "long non-coding RNA (PDAC_LNC010021)". Lineage: Eukaryota; Viridiplantae; Streptophyta; Magnoliopsida; Arecales; Arecaceae. The record is from RNAcentral.